UACGGAGGGGGCUAGCGUUGUUCGGAAUUACUGGGCGUAAAGCGUACGUAGGCGGCUUUGUAAGUUAGAGGUGAAAGCCCGGGGCUCAACCCCGGAAUUGCCUUUAAGACUGCAUCGCUUGAACGUCGGAGAGGUGAGUGGAAUUCCGAGUGUAGCGGUGAAAUGCGUAGAUAUCUGGAGGAACACCGGUGGCGAAGGCGGCAUCCUGGACCAACACUGACGCUGAGGAGCGAAAGCCAGGGGAGCAAACGGG
This 253-nucleotide ribosomal RNA is filed under the name uncultured bacterium. RNAcentral describes it as "partial 16S ribosomal RNA". It matches the Rfam family "Bacterial small subunit ribosomal RNA", at positions 524 to 776 of the family's 1533-position model. The record is from RNAcentral.